RNAcentral lists this ribosomal RNA (481 nucleotides) under uncultured bacterium. RNAcentral describes it as "bacterial SSU rRNA". It matches the Rfam family "Bacterial small subunit ribosomal RNA", at positions 22 to 518 of the family's 1533-position model. The record is from RNAcentral.
GGUCAGGACGAACGCUGGCGGCGUGCUUAACACAUGCAAGUCGAGCGAUGAAGCUCUUCGGAAGUGGAUUAGCGGCGGACGGGUGAGUAACACGUGGGUAACCUGCCUCAUAGAGGGGAAUAGCCUUCCGAAAGGAAGAUUAAUACCGCAUAAGAUUGUAAUAUCGCAUGAUAUAGCAAUUAAAGGAGUAAUCCGCUAUGAGAUGGACCCGCGUCGCAUUAGCUAGUUGGUGAGGUAACGGCUCACCAAGGCGACGAUGCGUAGCCGACCUGAGAGGGUGAUCGGCCACAUUGGGACUGAGACACGGCCCAGACUCCUACGGGAGGCAGCAGUGGGGAAUAUUGCACAAUGGGGGGAAACCCUGAUGCAGCAAACCGCCGCGUGAGUGAUGACGGUCUUCGGAUUGUAAAGCUCUGUCUUCAGGGACGAUAAUGACGGUACCUGAGGAGGAAGCCACGGCUAACUACGUGCCAGCAGCAGC